This 75-nucleotide transfer RNA is filed under the name Geomys texensis. RNAcentral describes it as "tRNA-Leu". It matches the Rfam family "tRNA". Rfam says of the family: Transfer RNA (tRNA) molecules are approximately 80 nucleotides in length. Their secondary structure includes four short double-helical elements and three loops (D, anti-codon, and T loops). The record is from RNAcentral. Lineage: Eukaryota; Metazoa; Chordata; Mammalia; Rodentia; Geomyidae.
GUUAGGGUGGCAGAGCCCGGUAAAUGCAUAAGACUUAAGACUUUAAAAUCAGAGGUUCAAAUCCUCUCCCUAACA